AGCUCUUCAAGUGGUCGGGACUAUUAUUGGGCUUAAAGUGUCCGUAGCCGGUUUGGCAAGUCCCUGGUUAAAGCUGGAAGCUUAACUUUCAGUUCGCUAGGGAAACUACCUUACUAGAGGGCGGGAAAGGUGUGAGGUACUCCAGGGGUAGCGGUGAAAUGCGAUAAUCCUUGGGGGACCACCAGUGGCGAAGGCGUCAGACUGGAACGCGCCUGACGGUGAGGGACGAAAGCCAGGGGAGCGAACGG
Molecule: ribosomal RNA, 248 nt
Filed under: uncultured crenarchaeote
Lineage: Archaea; Thermoproteati; Thermoproteota
Description: partial 16S ribosomal RNA
Rfam family: Archaeal small subunit ribosomal RNA
Source: RNAcentral